This 1286-nucleotide ribosomal RNA is filed under the name bacterium RFB H07. RNAcentral describes it as "bacterial SSU rRNA". It matches the Rfam family "Bacterial small subunit ribosomal RNA", at positions 60 to 1346 of the family's 1533-position model. The record is from RNAcentral.
AGUCGAGGGGUAACAGAGGUAGCUUGCUACUUGCUGACGACCGGCGCACGGGUGCGUAACGCGUAUAGAAUCUACCUUAUACUGGGGGAUAGCCUUUGGAAACGAAGAUUAAUACCCCAUAGUAUGUUUGAAUGGCAUCAUUUGGACAUUAAAGUUUCGGCGGUAUAAGAUGACUAUGCGUUCUAUUAGUUUGUUGGUAAGGUAACGGCUUACCAAGACUACGAUAGAUAGGGGUCCUGAGAGGGAGAUCCCCCACACUGGUACUGAGACACGGACCAGACUCCUACGGGAGGCAGCAGUGAGGAAUAUUGGACAAUGGAGGCAACUCUGAUCCAGCCAUGCCGCGUGUAGGAAGACUGCCCUAUGGGUUGUAAACUACUUUUAUAUGGGAAGAAUAAGGUCUACGUGUAGACUGAUGACGGUACCAUAAGAAUAAGCACCGGCUAACUCCGUGCCAGCAGCCGCGGUAAUACGGAGGGUGCAAGCGUUAUCCGGAAUCAUUGGGUUUAAAGGGUCCGUAGGCGGGCAUAUAAGUCAGUGGUGAAAGUCUGUGGCUCAACCAUAGAAUUGCCAUUGAUACUGUAUGUCUUGAAUUAUUGUGAAGUGGUUAGAAUAUGUAGUGUAGCGGUGAAAUGCUUAGAGAUUACAUAGAAUACCGAUUGCGAAGGCAGAUCACUAACAAUAUAUUGACGCUGAUGGACGAAAGCGUAGGUAGCGAACAGGAUUAGAUACCCUGGUAGUCUACGCCGUAAACGAUGGAUACUAGUUGUUUGGCUUUCGGGCUGAGUGACUAAGCGAAAGUGAUAAGUAUCCCACCUGGGGAGUACGUUCGCAAGAAUGAAACUCAAAGGAAUUGACGGGGGCCCGCACAAGCGGUGGAGCAUGUGGUUUAAUUCGAUGAUACGCGAGGAACCUUACCAGGGCUUAAAUGUAGAUUGACAGGACUAGAGAUAGUUUUUUCUUCGGACAAUUUACAAGGUGCUGCAUGGUUGUCGUCAGCUCGUGCCGUGAGGUGUCAGGUUAAGUCCUAUAACGAGCGCAACCCCUGUGGUUAGUUGCCAGCGAGUAAUGUCGGGAACUCUAGCCAGACUGCCGGUGCAAACCGUGAGGAAGGUGGGGAUGACGUCAAAUCAUCACGGCCCUUACGUCCUGGGCCACACACGUGCUACAAUGGUAGGGACAGAGAGCAGCCACUGGGCGACCAGGAGCGAAUCUAUAAACCCUAUCUCAGUUCGGAUUGGAGUCUGCAACUCGACUCCAUGAAGCUGGAAUCGCUAGUAAUCGGA